Long non-coding RNA from Orcinus orca (killer whale), 546 nucleotides. RefSeq lists it as uncharacterized. The transcript has 2 exons. The record is from RefSeq and is a predicted model, not a curated record. Lineage: Eukaryota; Metazoa; Chordata; Mammalia; Artiodactyla; Delphinidae.
GAAGGGCUCCGGCUGCCCAUAGCAGGACCACAUGGAGGCCACCUUCUCGAGAAGCUCGUGUGCCUGGUGGGCACCCAGUGCAGAUUACAAGUGCCCGCCCCACUUUUCAGCAGAAAAACAAAAGCAGAACCAUGGACAGUGGCGUAAACAGACGGCUGGACCAAGUCAGCACCACGGACAGCAGCCUCGAAGGCCUUGGGUACAAACAUGGCACAGCCAUCGUCUGAUGUGGAAAAUGCAGCAUCGUGCACAGCAAAGUAGCCUUAUGUGAGGUAGUUUCAGAUUAAGAAGGCAUUCUGGACCAUCGUCCCAUGACCUCAUGUGUCUUAGGGCGUAAACCAUGUCCAUUUUUGUAACCUGACGGCCCAAGUUCUUGGAGUCAUGCAUGCAUGGACCAUGAGAAGAACAGAUUGAUCCUGAGUAGGGUAGGCGGAAUUCUAAGAUGGUUCCUUAUUCUGAUGUGAAAUUUGUAUCUAUAUAUAAAUAUAUUAAUAUAAAUAUAUUUAAAUUAAAGUAUAGUUGAUUCUCCCAAGUUCAGUUAACAUU